Molecule: ribosomal RNA, 499 nt
Filed under: Staphylococcus aureus
Lineage: Bacteria; Bacillati; Bacillota; Bacilli; Caryophanales; Staphylococcaceae
Description: bacterial SSU rRNA
Rfam family: Bacterial small subunit ribosomal RNA
Source: RNAcentral
UUUAUGGAGAGUUUGAUCCUGGCUCAGGAUGAACGCUGGCGGCGUGCCUAAUACAUGCAAGUCGAGCGAACGGACGAGAAGCUUGCUUCUCUGAUGUUAGCGGCGGACGGGUGAGUAACACGUGGAUAACCUACCCAUAAGACUGGGAUAACUUCGGGAAACCGGAGCUAAUACCGGAUAAUAUUUUGAACCGCAUGGUUCAAAAGUGAAAGACGGUCUUGCUGUCACUUAUGGAUGGAUCCGCGCUGCAUUAGCUAGUUGGUAAGGUAACGGCUUACCAAGGCAACGAUGCAUAGCCGACCUGAGAGGGUGAUCGGCCACACUGGAACUGAGACACGGUCCAGACUCCUACGGGAGGCAGCAGUAGGGAAUCUUCCGCAAUGGGCGAAAGCCUGACGGAGCAACGCCGCGUGAGUGAUGAAGGUCUUCGGAUCGUAAAACUCUGUUAUUAGGGAAGAACAUAUGUGUAAGUAACUGUGCACAUCUUGACGGUACCUAA